UAUAUAAGGUAAUGCCUGCCCAGUGCUAAAUAUUGUAAAUGGCCGCAGUACCUUGACUGUGCUAAGGUAGCAUAAUCAGUUGGCUUUUAAAUGGAGUCGGGAAUGAAUGGAUUUAUAAGGUUAAGCUGUCUCUUUUAUAUUUUAUUGAAUUUAAUUAUUUAGGUGAAAAUACCUAAUUAUUGAUAAAAGACGAGAAGACCCUAGGAGUUUUAACUAGUAUCAAUAUUAAAUUGCUUAGUGUUUUUGUUGGGGCGACAUAGGAACAUAUCAACUUCCUUAAUUUUAUAUACCGACUUAAUGUAUAAAUAAUUAAACUACCCUAGGGAUAACAGCGUUAUUCUUUUUAGAGCUUGCGACCUCGAUGUUGGACUAGGAAUUUAAUGGCUAGCCGCCAAUUUCUAUUGUUC
This 407-nucleotide ribosomal RNA is filed under the name Elysia pratensis. RNAcentral describes it as "partial 16S ribosomal RNA". It matches the Rfam family "Bacterial large subunit ribosomal RNA", at positions 1844 to 2582 of the family's 2925-position model. The record is from RNAcentral. Lineage: Eukaryota; Metazoa; Mollusca; Gastropoda; Plakobranchidae.